Molecule: long non-coding RNA, 656 nt
Filed under: Marmota monax (woodchuck)
Lineage: Eukaryota; Metazoa; Chordata; Mammalia; Rodentia; Sciuridae
Source: RNAcentral
GGAAGAAGGGUCCAUGAAAUAUUCAGAUACACUUGACCUCAGAUACUCUUGAGUGUCCAGGCCUCCUAUCACUGCAUAAUUCAAAUGUAGCUUAGCCCACUAUGGUGGAACACACCUAUAAUCUCAGUGAUUCAUGAGGCUGAGGCGGGAGGAUCCCAAGUUUGAGGACAGUCUGGGCAACUUAGCAAGACCGUGUCUCAAAUUAAAAAUAAAAAGAACCUGGGAUGUAACUCAGUAGUAGAGUUCCCCUGGGUUCAAUCCCCAGGGAUACAAGGGGGCGGGGGGAGGCAGGUAAAACUGCUUCUUCAGAUACUCCCUGAGCUGGUAGCACUACAAAGGACCAAAAAAAGAAAGAAAGAAAAAAAUCAUCCCUCUGUGUGGUGAGUCAAUGCUCCACAUCGUGUCUUUUGAAAGCAUCAUGUCUACAAGGCAGGCUCCCAUUAUUUUAGGUGUUCAGUUUACGACUGGAAUUCAAAGAAACCACUUAUUUUGUAAUCAUCUCCAGUUUUUUUCCCUGCCCAGUUAUAUGGAUUUGAUGAUUUUUUUUUUACUUACUCCAUGUAUAUGAGUGUAAUUUUUUUUCCGAGUGAACCAUUUCUAUAUUCAGAGCUUUUAAAGCAAUUGUUGAGGUAUAAUCUACAUAUAGCAAAAUGAAC